AGUGAACGCUGGCGGCAGGCCUAACACAUGCAAGUCGAACGGCAGCACCGUAGGUGCUUCUUCUUACGGGUGGCGAGUGGCGGGCGGGUGAGGAAAACAUCCGAAUCUACUUUUUCGUGGGGGCUCACGAAGGGACACCUACGCCAAUACCGCAUACGACCUACGGGUGAAAGCAGGGGAACUUCGGACCUUGCGCGAAUGAAUGAGCGGAUGUCGGAUUAGUUAGUUGGCGGGGUAAAGGCCCACCAAGGCGACGAUCCGGAGCUGGUAUGAGAGGACGAUCAGCCGGCCUGGAACUGAGACACGGCCCAGAGGCCUACGGGAGGCACCAGUGGGGAAUAUUGGACAAUGGGCGCAAGCCUGAGCCAGCCAUGCCGCGUGGGUGAAGAAGGCCUUCGGGUUGUAAAGCCCUGUUGUUGGGAAGGAAAAGCAGCAGGUUAAGACCGCGCUGUUCUGACGGUACCCAAAGAAUAAGCACCGGCUAACUUCGUG
This 492-nucleotide ribosomal RNA is filed under the name uncultured bacterium. Its description in RNAcentral is "partial 16S ribosomal RNA". It matches the Rfam family "Bacterial small subunit ribosomal RNA", at positions 29 to 507 of the family's 1533-position model. The record is from RNAcentral.